This 156-nucleotide ribosomal RNA is filed under the name Penicillium sp. FKI-4942. Its description in RNAcentral is "5.8S ribosomal RNA". It matches the Rfam family "5.8S ribosomal RNA". From Rfam's summary of the family: 5.8S ribosomal RNA (5.8S rRNA) is a component of the large subunit of the eukaryotic ribosome. The record is from RNAcentral. Lineage: Eukaryota; Fungi; Ascomycota; Eurotiomycetes; Eurotiales; Aspergillaceae.
AACUUUCAACAACGGAUCUCUUGGUUCCAGCAUCGAUGAAGAACGCAGCGAAAUGCGAUAAGUAAUGUGAAUUGCAGAAUUCCGUGAAUCAUCGAAUCUUUGAACGCACAUUGCGCCCUCUGGCAUUCCGGAGGGCAUGCCUGUCCGAGCGUCAUU